Molecule: ribosomal RNA, 812 nt
Filed under: uncultured earthworm cast bacterium
Lineage: Bacteria
Description: bacterial SSU rRNA
Rfam family: Bacterial small subunit ribosomal RNA
Source: RNAcentral
GCAGAACAGCUGGCGGCGCGCCUAACACAUGCAAGUCGAGCGGGAACCAGGGCUUCGGCCCUGGGGACAGCGGCGAACGGGUGAGUAACACGUGGAUAACCUGCCCUCGGCACCGGAAUAGCCCGGGGAAACCCGGAUUAAUGCCGGAUAGCCCCACAUCCCUGCGGGGAACGUGGGAAAAGGUAGCUUCGGCCUCUGGCCGAGGAUGGGUCCGCGGUGGAUUAGCUUGUUGGCGGGGUAACGGCCCACCAAGGCGACGAUCCAUAGCUGGUCUGAGAGGACGAUCAGCCACACUGGGACUGAGACACGGCCCAGACUCCUACGGGAGGCAGCAGUGGGGAAUCUUGCGCAAUGGGCGAAAGCCUGACGCAGCGACGCCGCGUGCGGGAAGAAGGCCUUCGGGUUGUAAACCGCUUUCAGGAGGGACGAAGCCACUCGGGUUAAUAGCCCAGAGGGUGACGGUACCUCCAGAAGAAGCCCCGGCUAACUACGUGCCAGCAGCCGCGGUAAUACGUAGGGGGCAAGCGUUGUCCGGAUUCAUUGGGCGUAAAGAGCGUGUAGGCGGCCAGGUAGGUCGGUUGUGAAAACUGGAGGCUCAACCUUCAGAGGUCGACCGAAACCAUCUGGCUAGAGUCCGGGAGAGGAGAGUGGAAUUCCUGGUGUAGCGGUGAAAUGCGCAGAUAUCAGGAAGAACACCCGUGGCGAAAGCGGCUCUCUGGAACGGUACUGACGCUGAGACGCGAAAGCGUGGGGAGCGAACAGGAUUAGAUACCCUGGUAGUCCACGCCGUAAACGAUGGGCACUAGGUGUGG